RNAcentral lists this ribosomal RNA (371 nucleotides) under uncultured Glomeromycotina. RNAcentral describes it as "eukaryotic LSU rRNA". Lineage: Eukaryota; Fungi; Glomeromycota. The record is from RNAcentral.
UUGAAAGGGAAACGAUUGAAGUCAGUCGUACCGACGAGAAAUCAGCUUAUCGUGUGUUAACUUGUGGGCGUGCGUGAGUUUCGGCCUCGCUGUUUGCAUGUUUGUGCGCUUUGGGUGUACUUUUUCGUAUGGUUGGCCAACAUCAGUUUCGAUCACUAUAAAAUGACUGGCGGAAUGUAGCUUCGAUUUCGGUUGAAGUGUUAUAGCCUUUGGUAGAUGUGGUGAUUGAGACUGAGGAUUGCAACGAAUAUCCUUUGGGCUAUCCGUCUGGCCUCUGAAAGUUGCUUGGGUGCUGAAAGCUUGCUUAUGGUUAUCUAAGUUAACGGUCAAUAGGUUAGAACGUGAUUACAUUCGUUAAGGAUGUUGACGUA